GACGAACGCUGGCGGCGUGCUUAACACAUGCAAGUCGAACGGAAAGGCCCUGCUUUUGUGGGGUGCUCGAGUGGCGAACGGGUGAGUAACACGUGAGUAACCUGCCCUUGACUUUGGGAUAACUUCAGGAAACUGGGGCUAAUACCGGAUAGGAGAUCCGGCUGCAUGGUGGGGGUUGGAAAGUUUCGGCGGUUGGGGAUGGACUCGCGGCUUAUCAGCUUGUUGGUGGGGUAGUGGCUUACCAAGGCUUUGACGGGUAGCCGGCCUGAGAGGGUGACCGGCCACAUUGGGACUGAGAUACGGCCCAGACUCCUACGGGAGGCAGCAGUGGGGAAUAUUGCACAAUGGGGCGAAGCGUGAUGCAGCAACGCCGCGUGCGGGAUGACGGCCUUCGGGUUGUAAACCGCUUUCGCCUGUGACGAAGCGUGAGUGACGGUAAUGGGUAAAGAAGCCCCGGCUAACUACGUG
This 468-nucleotide ribosomal RNA is filed under the name uncultured bacterium. RNAcentral describes it as "partial 16S ribosomal RNA". It matches the Rfam family "Bacterial small subunit ribosomal RNA", at positions 28 to 507 of the family's 1533-position model. The record is from RNAcentral.